This 158-nucleotide ribosomal RNA is filed under the name Sclerotinia sclerotiorum. RNAcentral's name for it is "5.8S ribosomal RNA". The stretch from base 30 to 158 matches the Rfam family "5.8S ribosomal RNA", at positions 1 to 129 of the family's 154-position model. Rfam says of the family: 5.8S ribosomal RNA (5.8S rRNA) is a component of the large subunit of the eukaryotic ribosome. It is transcribed by RNA polymerase I as part of the 45S precursor that also contains 18S and 28S rRNA. The record is from RNAcentral. Lineage: Eukaryota; Fungi; Ascomycota; Leotiomycetes; Helotiales; Sclerotiniaceae.
AUGUCGUCUGAGUACUAUAUAAUAGUUAAAACUUUCAACAACGGAUCUCUUGGUUCUGGCAUCGAUGUAGUACGCAGCGAAAUGCGAUAAGUAAUGUGAAUUGCAGAAUUCAGUGAAUCAUCGAAUCUUUGAACGCACAUUGCGCCCCUUGGUAUUCC